Molecule: ribosomal RNA, 1344 nt
Filed under: uncultured organism
Description: bacterial SSU rRNA
Rfam family: Bacterial small subunit ribosomal RNA
Source: RNAcentral
UCAGCGGCAGACGGGUGAGUAACACGUAGAUAACCUACCCUCAAGACGGGGAUAACCGGUGGAAACAGCGGCUAAUACCCGAUAGGCUCACGUGAUCGGGAGGUCAAGUGAGGAAAGGCUGCGGUGCUUGAGGAGGGGUCUGCGGCCCAUCAGCUAGUUGGUGAGGUAACGGCUCACCAAGGCGAAGACGGGUAGGGGGUGUGAGAGCACGACCCCCCACAAUGGGACUGCGACACGGCCCAUACUCCUACGGGAGGCAGCAGCAGGGAAUAUUGCGCAAUGGACGGAAGUCAGACGCAGCGACGCCGCGUGGGUGAGGAAGGCCUUCGGGUUGUAAAGCCCUUUUCUGGAGGGCGAGGCAGGACGGUACUCCAGGAAAUAAGCGUCGGCUAACUACGUGCCAGCAGCCGCGGUAAGGCGUAAGACGCAAGCGUUAUCCGGAUUUACUGGGCGUAAAGCGCCUGUAGGCGGCGGGAUAAGUCGGAUGUGAAAGCCCCGUGCUCAACGCGGGGAAGCCAUUCGAUACUGUCUGGCUAGAGAGCGGGAGAGGGAAAACGGAAUUUCUGGUGUAGCGGUAAAAUGCGCAGAGAUCAGAAGGAACACCGAUGGCGAAGGCAGUUUCCUAGGCCGUAUCUGACGCUGAGAGGCGAAAGCUAGGGGAGCGAACAGGAUUAGAGACCCUGGUAGUCCUAGCUGUAAACGCUGGAUGCUAGGUGUGGGCCAGAGCGGUCCGUGCCGGAGUUAACGCGAUAAGCAUCCCGCCUGGGGAGUACGGCCGCAAGGCUAAAACUCAAACGAAUUGACGGGGACCCGCACAAGCAGCGGAGCGUGUGGUUUAAUUCGAUGCUACACGCAGAACCUUACCUGGGCUUGACAUGUAGGUGGUAGUGAAGUGAAAGCGGAGCGACCCUUCGGGGAGCCUACACAGGUGCUGCAUGGCUGUCGUCAGCUCGUGCCGUGAGGUGUCGGGUUAAGUCCCGUAACGAGCGCAACCCUUGUCCUUAGUUACAAGUGUCUAAGGAGACUGCCGGUGACAAACCGGAGGAAGGUGGGGAUGACGUCAAGUCAGCAUGGCCCUUAUGUCCAGGGCGACACACACGCUACAAUGGUCGGUACAAAGGGCAGCGCAGCCGCGAGGUGAAGCGAAUCCCACCAAAGCCGAUCCCAGUUCGGAUUGCAGGCUGCAACCCGCCUGCAUGAAGCCGGAGUUGCUAGUAACCGCGCGUCAGCCAUAGUGCGGUGAUACGUUCCCGGGUCUUGUACACACCGCCCGUCACGUCAUGGGAGUCGGUAACGCCUGAAGCCGGAAGUCUGACCCGCAAGGGAGGCGCCGUCGAAGGCGGG